AGUUCGAUUAUGGCUCAGAUUGAACGCUGGCGGGAUGCUUUACACAUGCAAGUCGAACGGCAGCACGGACUUCGGUCUGGUGGCGAGUGGCGAACGGGUGAGUAAUGUAUCGGAACGUGCCUAGUAGCGGGGGAUAACUACGCGAAAGCGUAGCCAAUACCGCAUACGCCCUUCGGGGGAAAGCGGGGGACCUUCGGGCCUCGCACUAUUAGAGUGGCUGGAUAUCGGAUUAGCUAGUUGGUGGGUAACGGCUCACCAAGGCGACGAUCCGUAGCUGGUUUGAGAGGACGACCAGCCACACUGGGACUGAGACACGGCCCAGACUCCUACGGGAGGCAGCAGUGGGGCUUUAAUAAUGGGAACCUGAUCCAGCCAUCCGCGUGUGCGAUGAAGGCCUUCGGGUUGUAAAGCACUUUUUGGCAGGAAAGAAACGCACGGGAUAAUACCCCGUGCAACCGACGGUACCUGCAGAAUAAGCACCGGCCAACUACGCCGCGCCAGCAGCCGCGGUAAUACGUAGGGUGCAAGCGUUAAUCGGAAUUACUGGGCGUAAAGCGUGCGCAGGCGGUUCGGAAAGAAAGAUGUGAAAUCCUGUGGAGCUUAACUUUUGGAACUGCAUUUUUAACUACCGAGCUAGAGUGUGUCAGAGGGAGGUGGAAUUCCGCGUAGCAGUGAAAUGCGUAGAUAUAAAGGUGGAGGAACACCGAUGGCGAAGGCAGCCUCCUGGAUAACACUGACGUGCUCAUGCACGAAAGCGUGGGGAGCAAACAGGAUUAGAUACCCGGUAGUCCACGCCCUAAACGAUGUUUAAUUUAGUUGUUGGGGCCUUCGGGCCUUGGUAGCGCAGCUAACGCGUGAAGUUGACCGCCUGGGAGUACGGUCGCAAGAUUAAAACUCAAAAGGAAUUGACGGGGACUCCGCACAAGCGGUGAUGAUGAUUAAUUCGAUGCAACGCGAAACCUUACCUACCCUUGACAUGUCUGGAAUCCCGAAGAGAUUUGGGAGUGCUCGCAAGAGAACCGGAACACAGGUGCUGGUAUGGCUGUCGCCGCUCGUGUCGAGAUGUUGGGUUAAGUCCCCGGCAACGAGCGGCAACCCUCUUGUCAUUAGUUGCUACGAAAGGGCACUCUAAUGAGACUGCCGGUGACAAACCGGAGGCGGUGGAUGACGCCAAGUCCUCGCGGCCUCUUAUGGCAGGGCUUCACACGUCAUACAAUGGUCGGGACAGAGGGUCGCCAACCCGCGAGGGGAGCCAAUCCCAGAAACCUGAUCAGAAUCCUGAUCACCAGUGUCUGCAACUCGACUGCGUGAAGUCGGAAUCGCCAGUAAUCGCGGAUCAGCAUGUCGCGGUGAAUACGUUCCCGGGUCUUGUACACACUCCGCCCGUCACACCAUGGCGGGUUUUACCAGAAGUAGUUAGCCUAACCGUAAGGAGGGCGAUUACCACGGUAGGAUUCAUGACUGGGCAAAGCCGUAACAAGGUAA
This 1485-nucleotide ribosomal RNA is filed under the name uncultured Bordetella sp. RNAcentral describes it as "partial 16S-23S ribosomal RNA intergenic spacer". It matches the Rfam family "Bacterial small subunit ribosomal RNA". The record is from RNAcentral. Lineage: Bacteria; Pseudomonadati; Pseudomonadota; Betaproteobacteria; Burkholderiales; Alcaligenaceae.